RNAcentral lists this ribosomal RNA (377 nucleotides) under uncultured cyanobacterium. Its description in RNAcentral is "bacterial SSU rRNA". It matches the Rfam family "Bacterial small subunit ribosomal RNA", at positions 376 to 770 of the family's 1533-position model. The record is from RNAcentral. Lineage: Bacteria; Bacillati; Cyanobacteriota.
CGAAAGCCUGACGGAGCAACGCCGCGUGAGGGAGGAAGGCUCUUGGGUUGUAAACCUCUUUUCUCAAGGAAGAUAAUGACGGUACUUGAGGAAUCAGCAUCGGCUAACUCCAUGCCAGCAGCCGCGGUAAUACGGAGGAUGCAAGCGUUAUCCGGAAUAAUUGGGCGUAAAGCGUUCGUAGGUGGUGAUGUAAGUCUGCUGUUAAAGCGUGUAGCUUAACUACAUAUAGGCGGUGGAAACUACAUGACUAGAGUGCGUUCGGGGCAGAGGGAAUUCCUGGUGUAGCGGUGAAAUGCGUAGAUAUCAGGAAGAACACCGGUGGCGAAGGCGCUCUGCUAGGCCGUAACUGACACUGAGGGACGAAAGCUAGGGGAGCG